GUUGCUAAGGACAAGUGUAAUGGCAAAUGCUGGUCCAUAGGACAAAGUUAUUUCUUGGAUUUGCCACAUGGAGGUAAUUUUACAGAUUGCAUUCCUGAGCUUCUGAUGCAUCCCACAUGCAGAACUGAUUGCUAUCCCUCCUAUGCACUGUACUCUGCUCCAACUCACUAGCCCAGGAAAUUAUUUUGGACUGUAGAACAAAAUGCCUACCCUGCUUAUUUUCUUCAUGGGUGCCUAUUGUGUCCUUGGAACAUUUACACAGAUAGAGAUUAAGUCUGUAGCGGAGGACAAUGUGACCCUUCCUUGUCAGCAUAGACUUGGCUUGCUGGGGGAAAAGAGCUUGGACAUUGAGUGGCUUUCAAAUAUGUCUGGCAGUCAGCAACCUCAGUUAAUAAGCUAUAGUGGAG
Molecule: long non-coding RNA, 407 nt
Organism: Bombina bombina (fire-bellied toad)
Lineage: Eukaryota; Metazoa; Chordata; Amphibia; Anura; Bombinatoridae
Exons: 3
Source: RefSeq, a predicted model, not a curated record